UACGGAGGGUGCAAGCGUUAUUCGGAAUUACUGGGCGUAAAGCGCACGCAGGCGGUUUUUUAAGUCUGAUGUGAAAUCCCCGGGCUCAACCUAGGAACUGCAUCUGAUACUGGCAAGCUUGAGUCUGGUAGAGGGGGGCAGAAUUCCAGGUGUAGCGGUGAAAUGCGUAGAGAUCUGGAGGAAUACCGGUGGCGAAGGCGGCCCUCUGGACGAAGACUGACGCUGAGGUGCGAAAGCGUGGGGAGCAAACGGG
This 253-nucleotide ribosomal RNA is filed under the name uncultured bacterium. RNAcentral describes it as "partial 16S ribosomal RNA". It matches the Rfam family "Bacterial small subunit ribosomal RNA", at positions 524 to 776 of the family's 1533-position model. The record is from RNAcentral.